Molecule: ribosomal RNA, 711 nt
Filed under: Enterobacter mori
Lineage: Bacteria; Pseudomonadati; Pseudomonadota; Gammaproteobacteria; Enterobacterales; Enterobacteriaceae
Description: bacterial SSU rRNA
Rfam family: Bacterial small subunit ribosomal RNA
Source: RNAcentral
GGAUAACUACUGGAAACGGUAGCUAAUACCGCAUAACGUCGCAAGACCAAAGAGGGGGACCUUCGGGCCUCUUGCCAUCGGAUGUGCCCAGAUGGGAUUAGCUAGUAGGUGGGGUAACGGCUCACCUAGGCGACGAUCCCUAGCUGGUCUGAGAGGAUGACCAGCCACACUGGAACUGAGACACGGUCCAGACUCCUACGGGAGGCAGCAGUGGGGAAUAUUGCACAAUGGGCGCAAGCCUGAUGCAGCCAUGCCGCGUGUAUGAAGAAGGCCUUCGGGUUGUAAAGUACUUUCAGCGGGGAGGAAGGUGUUGAGGUUAAUAACCUCAGCGAUUGACGUUACCCGCAGAAUAAGCACCGGCUAACUCCGUGCCAGCAGCCGCGGUAAUACGGAGGGUGCAAGCGUUAAUCGGAAUUACUGGGCGUAAAGCGCACGCAGGCGGUCUGUCAAGUCGGAUGUGAAAUCCCCGGGCUCAACCUGGGAACUGCAUUCGAAACUGGCAGGCUAGAGUCUUGUAGAGGGGGGUAGAAUUCCAGGUGUAGCGGUGAAAUGCGUAGAGAUCUGGAGGAAUACCGGUGGCGAAGGCGGCCCCCUGGACAAAGACUGACGCUCAAGUGCGAAAGCGUGAGGAGCAAACAGGAUUAGAUACCCUGGUAGUCCACGCCGUAAACGAUGUCGACUUGGAGGUUGUGCCCUUGAGGCGUGGCUUCC